GAACAUAAAGGACGAACAUGCAACAUUAUUACUGUUUAUUAUUCGAAGUGGACAUCAGACUUUCAUUACAUUAAUUCAACACUCAAUCUUGAUUUAAUGAAUUAAUUUGUUUCGACUUGAGUUUCGAUCAGACGAACGGGUCUGCGUGGUGCAGCCUAUGUACAGGUAAUAUACACUAACUUGACGACUCUGGCAGGGUGUGAUUUGGAUGGACAAUGACCAUAAAAACAGCCGCAAAGAAGUGCCUACUUAGGAAGCAACCACUAAUGAAUUGCAUCACAUGCGGGCGCCAUAAUUGUAUAGUAAAUCAAUUGCUUCAAACUGCUGUCUCUCCUCGUACAAGCUUCUUCUUCCAGGUCGGGAAAGCUCAUAACCAGCGAAUUAUAUUUUUAUUACCAUUAAACAUCAUCGUGAACAGAUGCAUUUUUAUUUUGACGAAAGCUUCUAUCUUACGAUGAGCAGAUGAAUGAAACAUAGCCGAGGAAUUUCUUUCGACAAGGAUAGGGGCAAGGAUAAUCGACAAAGUAAGCACUUGUGAGACGGGAAAACAGCUAAAUAGACGAAUCGCUAUAUAUAGGUCUGUACAUGACGAUAUACCAAAUACCUAUGAAGUGGUGUGAAUUCGAACUUCAACACGAUUUCAAUAUCAUCAUAAUGGUUUACAUGGUUUUGUCAUUACACACAAAAUAAAGCAAAAGAAACGAGACGAAAAGACUGAAAGAUGGAUGCUUUCUAUCAACAGAUUCCACGACCCGACUUCCAGAAGAGUCAUGUGACACGUAACGCCAAACCUAUCAUCAACAGCUUUGAUGAGAGGUUUCCUUACACUGCUCCUCCACUCGACUUUUCUUUCAUGAACAUUGGUAACUUCGACUCAUAUCUUCAUGGUAAGGACGAUGAACCAAGGCAGCAAGGUCUAAAGAACCUCACCAAGACCGAAGAUGGGAAAUACUCGACCACCACCCUGAAAAUGAACAACAAUCUUCUUCAAGAAUGGAAAGGUUUCGAACAAUUCCUAAAGGACAUUCUGGCAAGUCCACAAGAACUCUAUUGGCUUGAUCUGUCUUUCAACUAUCUUAUUACCAUAGAUGAAGUCAUACUCAACUUUCCCAAUAUUAGAAUUCUCUAUCUCCAUGGAAAUGCAAUCGAGGAUGCCAAAGAGAUUGAUAAACUAGCUCAACUUCAACAUCUUUUUAAACUCACCCUCCAUGGAAACCCGGUGGAGUCUGAUCCUGGUUACAGACAGCGUGUACUCUCUAAACUUCCAAACUUGAAGACGCUAGACUGUAGUGAAGUAACUAAAGCUGACAGGGAGAAAUCCCAGGUUUACGUGUCGAUGGUCGGGGAUCGAAAUCCGACAGCAAAGAAGAAACAUGCUCGUUCAAAAACAAAGUAAAACUGUUUUUCAUGUUUGAUAAAUUCAUUCGUUCCCAUUGGAGAGUACCCGUUUACCAUUAUUCAUCCGCAACGAUGAACAAUUGAAGAAAACCUUCAUCGAUUAUAGCGAAAAGCGUUAAAAGAUUUAUGAAAAUGUGAGAUAGAGGGGACAGCAUAUUAUGUGCAUUAGUUUAAUUUUCAUGCUCCAGGCUGAAGGUAUUUAUAUUUCACUAAAUAGAGUAAAAUUCUCAGAGCAAAAUGCUGAAAAUUUGAUCAAAAUCAGAUAACAAAUAUUGAACUUAUCGAAUUUCAAAGAUUUGCAUUAUUCUGGUGAAACAGUUCUAAGCAUGUCUUAACGAAUAUUCAUUAGGUGGGCUGAUGAUGUCAUUUCCCCAUUUGUUCUUUUGUAUUUUAUUAUAUGAAAUUAGGUUUAUUCAAAAUGUUUCUACCAAGAACUAAAACAAUUGGAUUGUCAACUGAUGAAGUGCAUUAGUUACUUAUUACUGCGACUUAUUUCAUAAUAGUGGAGACUCAUCAUUUACACAUGUAUAUAUGAAAAAUUACACAAUUAUGAUUUCAUGUAAUAACAUAAGAAAAGGGAAUGUGGGGGUGUGACAUCAUCAGCCCACCUAAUGAACAUUCAUGACAACUGUUUUCACAAAAUAUUGCUAAACUUUGAAAUUCAAUAACUUUGUUAUUUGUUAUCAGAUUUUGAUGAAAUUUUCAGCAUUUUGCUCUGUGAAUUUCACUAUUUUUAUUUAGAUGCCCGGGGCAUGCCUUUAACCCUUGCUCUACAGGGGGACAAAUCUUCUUUAAAUUUUCACUCGUGGUAACCGCAAGAAAGGCCUCGCGCAAUUAAAGCACAUUUCAGCCAGCAAUAAGGAGUUUUAUGACGAUUUUAGUAUUAACAUCGUUUGAGACCAGAUUCCCAAUGUUUUUUUUAUUUGUUUAUUUUUUUGCAGUGAGAUCCGCCUUGCUUUUUACAAAGUCCGAACGUACAAUGACCUCCUAUUGUACACAAAUAUAUGGAGCUGUCCCUGCGGAUACAUGAUCUUUCCCACAAUUUUUUUUUUUUUUUUUUGCGGAGGGGCGGGGGUGAAGAGAUUGUUAAAGUGAAAACUAGUUGGUAUAUGCAUGGACCUACGAAUUGAUGGAUAUUCAUCGGUUGUAAUGAAUUCACUAACAUGUGGAUGUCAAUGUUUUUCAUGUCAUGUAUCAUAUCACUCCAUGCAAGUAUGUUCCCCUGUUAUUACCCGUGCGCACACACAUUCACUCCCGCACUCGCACAACCCGUCACAAUCUACCAACCACAACAUAUACACAUACACGCGUGCGCGCGCGCGCGCGCACAAACACACACACUCACACACACCUACCCUCAGUUCACAACACAGUUCUUCAUCCACAAUACGGUUUCAUUCAAAAAGUCUAAAUGAUACCCCGUGACGAAAGCAUGCAUGACCAAGACAUGAUAGACUCAGAAAGUAAAUAUUUCACAAUAGAAGAUUUUAAUAAUAAAUUCAACGUUUCACCGAAUGAUUUUGCUACUAUAACCGAAACCAACACAUCUUUUAACAGCAUUGCUAGUGACCAAAAUCAUAUUUUGUCUAGUCAUUCUUUAGGUUUUUUGCACAUCAACGCUAGAAGUUUAAAUAAAUCAUUUGAUUCGAUUGAAUUACUCCUUUCCAAUAUUAACAAUUACCCCUUCUCUAUUAUCGGUAUAUCAGAAACUUGGCUGCACAAAAACUCACCACCUCUAUUUAACAUUGAUAAUUAUCAAAUGAUUCGUUCUGACCGUGAGCAUGGUAAAGGGGGUGGCGUUGCCUUGUACACGCGCAAUGAUAUACAUUUUAAAGUAAGGGCAGAUAUACAUAUCCAAGGCACGGAGGAUAUUUUCAUUGAAAUUUUAAACAGUAAAAAUAAAAACAUAAUCGUAGGUAAUGUGUACAGACCCCCAAAUGGUGACAUUGAUUUGUUUUUAGAUAAGCUCGAUCAAUGUCUUAGUUUUAUUUCUCGGGAAAAUAAAGACAUUUACAUAAUGGGAGAUUAUAACAUUAAUCUUAUUAAUACUGACAAUAAUUACACUCUAAAAUUUAUUAGCUCAUUGCUUUCAUACUCUUUCCACCCGCAUAUUAGUAAUCCGACACGAAUAUCAAGUACGCCUAAAACCCUCAUUGACAAUAUCAUUUCAAAUGUAACUAACAAAAACUUCAUAAAUGGCAUUAUUUAUUCUGACAUUUCGGACCAUUUACCUAUAUUUGUUAUUUCUAAUCAAGCUAAAAUUCAACAACAUAC
Lytechinus pictus (painted urchin) is the source of this 3672-nucleotide RNA transcript. It is a transcript of the gene named leucine-rich repeat-containing protein 51-like, with no coding region annotated. The record is from RefSeq and is a predicted model, not a curated record. The transcript has 3 exons. Lineage: Eukaryota; Metazoa; Echinodermata; Echinoidea; Temnopleuroida; Toxopneustidae.